Diabrotica virgifera virgifera (western corn rootworm) is the source of this 1311-nucleotide long non-coding RNA. RefSeq lists it as uncharacterized. The transcript is spliced from 3 exons. Lineage: Eukaryota; Metazoa; Arthropoda; Insecta; Coleoptera; Chrysomelidae. The record is from RefSeq and is a predicted model, not a curated record.
GCCAUCUUCAAAGAGCUCUAUCUCCCUUAGGAAUCAUUUUUGGACUAGGUGGGUUAAAAUGUCUUAAAAUUAUCUGAGGAAUCUCCUGUCUUCGUUUGUCGGUAGAGUUUCUGGACACCCUGUAUAUUACAAAAGACUAAGAUACAAGACCAUAAUUCAACUGAUAGUGAGCUAAGGAUGUGAAACUUGGAUAUUAACUGAAAAAUCUGUAAACCGCAUGGAUAUCUCUGAUAGAGAGGUACUCAGACAAAUACUAGACCUUAUAAGGGAGAACAACAGGUAGCGAAUCAGAUACAAUUAUAAAAUACAUAUAAUAAUAUAUAAAGAACAUUUGCUCAUACUUCCACAUAAUCCAGAGAUUGCUGGAACAUUUUGUAGCGAAGUUAUGAACAAAGGUGGAACAUUUUUGGAUACAAGAAUCUACAGGUCGAGCAAGUCUCGUAAAUUUCACGAUUGCGAGCCACGCUUCACGCAACCGUGUUUACGUACUUGUGUUUCGAGUUGCGUGGUCGUGCGGAGUUAUAUUUACCAAAUUUAAAUAUAAUCGUUUCUACUGAUCAUAAUAUAUCAUGUCAAAAUUAAAUCAAUAUGUCAAUAUGGCUACUGGGUGUAAAAGAUAAAUCUUAUUCUAUCUGUUCUUAAUGAGUUUUAGAUAAUUUUAGUUGUAUUUCUUUGUAAUUUUGUGUUGUACAAAGAUUAAUUUAACAUUUACUCUGGAAGUAUUAAUUUAGAAAGAUAAUAUGCUUCAUUGGUGUUGUGUUUUGAAGUGUGAAAUGCAAAGUAAUUGUGAUAAAGUCAAGAUAAAGUUCACUUUUAAACUGAACUAAAUAAGGUAUCUGAGAGACAACAAUGGUUAAAUGCAAUACAAUGUACAGGUUUUACUAGCGAAAUGAAAAUUUUCCUGUCCUGUCUGCUGUAAUCAUUUUAUAUCUGGAAAACCAACCGACUUAAUCGAUAAUAACAAUCUCCAGAUUGGGUUCCUUCAAUAAAUAUGGGCUAUUAACACAAUGAAAUAAGUUCCAGAAAAUCUAAAAUGGACUGGUAUCAAAGGAGAAUUAAAGGAAAAAAUAUUCAUAUUGAAAUUAUUUAUAAGGCACUGGACUGUCUUAAAUUCUACAAUAAUACUAGAAUCAGCUGAGAGAAGUGGUCUACAAAAAAACCAGGAAGGAAACAGAAUAUGUGGCUACGAAAGGCAAAAGAAAGGUUUACAAAGCAAAUGUGACACAUUUUUUUGAAAUAUUUAGGAAUAUCAGUAAAUUGCAUUAAAAAAAUGUAUGAAAAGAUUUUGUUCAAUAAAAAUGUUUAUAUUUA